Molecule: ribosomal RNA, 244 nt
Filed under: uncultured Actinomycetales bacterium
Lineage: Bacteria; Bacillati; Actinomycetota; Actinomycetes; Actinomycetales
Description: partial 16S ribosomal RNA
Rfam family: Bacterial small subunit ribosomal RNA
Source: RNAcentral
GCUCGAGUGGCGAACGGGUGAGUAACACGUGAGUAACCUGCCCUUGACUUUGGGAUAACUUCAGGAAACUGGGGCUAAUACCGGAUAGGAGCUCCUGCUGCAUGGUGGGGGUUGGAAAGUUUCGGCGGUUGGGGAUGGACUCGCGGCUUAUCAGCUUGUUGGUGGGGUAGUGGCUUACCAAGGCUUUGGCGGGUAGCCGGCCUGAGAGGGUGACCGGCCACAUUGGGACUGAGAUACGGCCCAG